CAGGGGGUAUUUUAUUUAAAAUAUUAAUUUUGGGGAUUAAUGAAAUGACUUGUUUGUCUUUCCUCUGA
This 68-nucleotide transfer RNA is filed under the name Cornitermes cumulans. RNAcentral's name for it is "tRNA-Pro". The record is from RNAcentral. Lineage: Eukaryota; Metazoa; Arthropoda; Insecta; Blattodea; Termitidae.